This 384-nucleotide ribosomal RNA is filed under the name uncultured Comamonas sp. RNAcentral describes it as "bacterial SSU rRNA". It matches the Rfam family "Bacterial small subunit ribosomal RNA", at positions 137 to 507 of the family's 1533-position model. The record is from RNAcentral. Lineage: Bacteria; Pseudomonadati; Pseudomonadota; Betaproteobacteria; Burkholderiales; Comamonadaceae.
GGGGGAGUAACUAACUCGUAAAGAAGUGGGCGUAAUACCGCGACUGAGAAUCUACGGAUGAAAGCAGGGGAGUCGCAAGACCUUGUGCUACUAGAGCGGCUGAUGGCAGAUUAGGUAGUUGGUGGGAUAAAAGCUUACCAAGCCGACGAUCUGUAGCUGGUCUGAGAGGACGAUCAGCCACACUGGGACUGAGACACGGCCCAGACUCCUACGGGAGGCAGCAGUGGGGAAUUUUGGACAAUGGGCGAAAGCCUGAUCCAGCAAUGCCGCGUGCAGGAUGAAGGCCUUCGGGUUGUAAACUGCUUUUGUACGGAACGAAAAGCUUCUGGUUAAUACCUGGGAGUCAUGACGGUACCGUAAGAAUAAGCACCGGCUAACUACGUG